AACGAACGCUGGCGGCGUGCUUAACACAUGCAAGUCGAACGCGAAGGGACUUCGGUCCUGAGUAAAGUGGCGCACGGGUGAGUAACGCGUAGAUAACCUGUCUUCAUGUCUGGAAUAAUACGCCGAAAGGGGUACUAAUACCGGAUAUUCUUGCUUUUCAUAAGUUAUGCAAGCAAAGGUGGCCUCUGCAUAUGCUACUGCAUGAAGAGGGGUCUGCGUACCAUUAGCUAGUAGGUGGGGUAAUGGCCUACCUAGGCGACGAUGGUUAGCGGGUCUGAGAGGAUGAUCCGCCACACUGGCACUGGAACACGGGCCAGACUCCUACGGGAGGCAGCAGUGAGGAAUAUUGCGCAAUGGGGGAAACCCUGACGCAGCGACGCCGCGUGAGUGAAGGAAGGCCUUCGGGUCGUAAAGCUCUGUCAAGAGGAAAGAAGUGUACAAUGGCUAAUACCUGUUGUAUUUGACGGUACCUCUAAAGGAAGCACCGGCUAACUCCGUGCCAGCAGCCGC
Molecule: ribosomal RNA, 510 nt
Filed under: uncultured bacterium
Lineage: Bacteria
Description: bacterial SSU rRNA
Rfam family: Bacterial small subunit ribosomal RNA
Source: RNAcentral